This 1497-nucleotide long non-coding RNA is filed under the name Salmo salar (Atlantic salmon). RNAcentral's name for it is "lncRNA (ENSSSAG00000094270.1)". Lineage: Eukaryota; Metazoa; Chordata; Actinopteri; Salmoniformes; Salmonidae. The record is from RNAcentral.
GCCUAGUCUGGGCGCGCGCAUAACGUACAUUGGCGCAUGCUUGCGUCAUAUUGUGCCCGCCAUAGAGAGAGAGAGAGAGAGCAGACCACAGCCCCCGGCAUUAUGACUAGCCCUGGUCUUUGUCUACCUACCGGUCCUCUACUAUCCGAAUAGCGCUGGUACUGCCGUUUAAAGUUCUAUCACCUGGGACAUGCUCAAAACCAUGUAAACGCCUGCAUGACAUCGAUUUAGACCAGCUGAAGGACCAACCAGACAGACAAUCAGCAGAAAACAACAGUGACAGCACCGUCAACAAAAAUGGAAGGGAUCUUUUGCAGCUCUGUAGAAGCCUGGGUCUGUACUUUGUCAAUGGUAGGUUACGGGGGGACUCUUUGGGGAGAUUCACCUACUGCUCACCUCUUGGCCACAGCACAGUAGACUAUAUGAUCACAGACAUUGACCCUUUCUCUCUCAGCUCAUUCACUGUCAAGCCACUAACACCUCUGUCUAAUCACAGCCAAAUUACAUUGUUCCUCAAAAGAACAGACAUGGAAACAACCACACAUUCACAGCCCAGUAAGCUGUACAACAUCAUAAAUUCAUACAGAUGGGCCCAAAACAGCACAGAAGAAUACCAGAAAGCAACCUGGAACCAAAAUAUCCAAACACUCUUAGAUAACUUUCUGGAUACCACAUUCACUCACAGUAAAGAAGGCAUCAAUCUAGCAGUACGAAACAUCAACUAUAUAUUCAGGCAAACGGCAAAAGAAGCACAAUUGAAAUGGUUAAAAAACUAAACAAAAAAGAUCACAUAUGACAACUGGUUUGAUGCAGAUUGUAAAAUUAUAAGGAAAAAACUUAGAACACUAUCCAACCAAAAGCACAGAGACCCACAUAAUGGUGAAUUACUCCUUCAUUACUGUGAGACUUUAAAACUCUAUAAACGUACACUCAGAACCAAAAAAGCAAAGUACAACAGCAAGCAGCUGACACUAAUUGAGGAGUCCAUAAACACAAACAACUUCUGGCAAAAUUGGAAAAAACUAAAAAAAAUCUAAACAAGAGGAAUUAGCGAUACAAAAUGGUGACAUAUGGACAACCCAUUUUACAACACUCUACAACACCGUUCAAAUUGACACAAACGCAGAACAACGCCAAAUUCAUGAGAAGUUGAAUGGAUUAGAAAAAGCUAUAAAGGACAAUCAAAAUCCAUUGGACUGCCCAAUUACUGACCAGGAUUUAAAAAAGCAUGCGGACCUGAUGGCAUCCUAAAUGAGAUGCUCAAACUCACUAGUGCAAAAUUUCAAUUGGCUAUAUUAAAACUGUUUAAUUUGAUUCUGAGUGAAGGUUAUUUCCCUGACAUCUGGAUUCAAGGAUUCAUAACCCCAAUCUUUAACCUGUUAGGGGUAGGGGGCAGUAUUGACACGGCCGGAUAAAAAAAGUACCCGAUUUAAUCUGGUUACUACUCCUGCCCAGUAACUAGAAUAUGCAUAUAAUUAUUGGCUUUGGAUAGAAAAC